RNAcentral lists this ribosomal RNA (499 nucleotides) under uncultured bacterium. Its description in RNAcentral is "partial 16S ribosomal RNA". It matches the Rfam family "Bacterial small subunit ribosomal RNA", at positions 899 to 1397 of the family's 1533-position model. The record is from RNAcentral.
ACUCAAAUGAAUUGACGGGGACCCGCACAAGCAGUGGAGUAUGUGGUUUAAUUCGAAGCAACGCGAAGAACCUUACCAGGUCUUGACAUCCCUCUGAAUACGUUAGAGAUAGCGUAGGCCUUCGGGACAGAGGAGACAGGUGGUGCAUGGUUGUCGUCAGCUCGUGUCGUGAGAUGUUGGGUUAAGUCCCGCAACGAGCGCAACCCUUGAAUCCAGUUGCCAGCAGGUAAGGCUGGGCACUCUGGAUUGACUGCCGGUGACAAACCGGAGGAAGGUGGGGAUGACGUCAAAUCAUCAUGCCCCUUAUGACCUGGGCUACACACGUACUACAAUGGUCGGUACAACGGGAAGCGAAGCCGCGAGGUGGAGCCAAUCCUAAAAAGCCGAUCUCAGUUCGGAUUGCAGGCUGCAACUCGCCUGCAUGAAGUCGGAAUUGCUAGUAAUCGCGGAUCAGCAUGCCGCGGUGAAUACGUUCCCGGGUCUUGUACACACCGCCCGU